RNAcentral lists this ribosomal RNA (403 nucleotides) under uncultured bacterium. RNAcentral's name for it is "bacterial SSU rRNA". It matches the Rfam family "Bacterial small subunit ribosomal RNA", at positions 355 to 775 of the family's 1533-position model. The record is from RNAcentral.
UGGGGAAUAUUGGACAAUGGGGGAAACCCUGAUCCAGCAAUGCCGCGUGAGUGAAGAAGGCCUUCGGGUUGUAAAGCUCUUUCAGCAGGGAAGAUGAUGACGGUACCUGCAGAAGAAGCCCCGGCUAACUCCGUGCCAGCAGCCGCGGUAAGACGGAGGGGGCUAGCGUUGUUCGGAAUUACUGGGCGUAAAGGGCGCGUAGGCGGCUCUUCAAGUUAGGCGUGAAAGCCCUGGGCUUAACCUAGGAAUAGCGUUUAAUACUGGAGAGCUAGAGAUUGGUAGAGGGAAAUGGAAUUCCUAGUGUAGAGGUGAAAUUCGUAGAUAUUAGGAAGAACACCAGAGGCGAAGGCGGUUUCCUGGGCCAACACUGACGCUGAGGCGCGAAAGCGUGGGGAGCAAACAG